GAAUUAUGCGCCUUUGAAGUUGGAGGUGAGAGAGUGAGAGACGGCAGAGAAAGCGACUGUCUCUUUCUCUGCCGUCUCUCACUCUCUCUCACCUCCAACUUUGAAGGCGCAUAACUU
RNAcentral lists this small RNA (117 nucleotides) under Caenorhabditis brenneri. Its description in RNAcentral is "sRNA CBN34344". The record is from RNAcentral. Lineage: Eukaryota; Metazoa; Nematoda; Chromadorea; Rhabditida; Rhabditidae.